Molecule: ribosomal RNA, 1301 nt
Filed under: uncultured bacterium
Lineage: Bacteria
Description: bacterial SSU rRNA
Rfam family: Bacterial small subunit ribosomal RNA
Source: RNAcentral
CGGGCCUCUUGCCAUCAGAUGUGCCCAGAUGGGAUUAGCUAGUAGGUGGGGUAACGGCUCACCUAGGCGACGAUCCCUAGCUGGUCUGAGAGGAUGACCAGCCACACUGGAACUGAGACACGGUCCAGACUCCUACGGUAGGCAGCAGUGGGGAAUAUUGCACAAUGGGCGCAAGCCUGAUGCAGCCAUGCCGCGUGUAUGAAGAAGGCCUUCGGGUUGUAAAGUACUUUCAGCGGGGAGGAAGGUGUUGAGGUUAAUAACCUCAGCAAUUGACGUUACCCGCAGAAGAAGCACCGGCUAACUCCGUGCCAGCAGCCGCGGUAAUACGGAGGGUGCAAGCGUUAAUCGGAAUUACUGGGCGUAAAGCGCACGCAGGCGGUCUGUCAAGUCGGAUGUGAAAUCCCCGGGCUCAACCUGGGAACUGCAUUCGAAACUGGCAGGCUGGAGUCUUGUAGAGGGGGGUAGAAUUCCAGGUGUAGCGGUGAAAUGCGUAGAGGUCUGGAGGAAUACCGGUGGCGAAGGCGGCCCCCUGGACAAAGACUGACGCUCAGGUGCGAAAGCGUGGGGAGCAAACAGGAUUGGAUACCCUGGUAGUCCACGCUGUAAACGAUGUCGACUUGGAGGUUGUUCCCUUGAGGAGUGGCUUCCGGAGCUAACGCGUUAAGUCGACCGCCUGGGGAGUACGGCCGCAAGGUUAAAACUCAAAUGAAUUGACGGGGGCCCGCACAAGCGGUGGAGCAUGUGGUUUAAUUCGAUGCAACGCGAAGAACCUUACCUACUCUUGACAUCCACGGAACUUAGCAGAGAUGCUUUGGUGCCUUCGGGAACCGUGAGACAGGUGCUGCAUGGCUGUCGUCAGCUCGUGUUGUGAAAUGUUGGGUUAAGUCCCGCAACGAGCGCAACCCUUAUCCUUUGUUGCCAGCGGUCCGGCCGGGAACUCAAAGGAGACUGCCAGUGAUAAACUGGAGGAAGGUGGGGAUGACGUCAAGUCAUCAUGGCCCUUACGAGUAGGGCUACACACGUGCUACAAUGGCGCAUACAAAGAGAAGCGACCUCGCGAGAGCAAGCGGACCUCAUAAAGUGCGUCGUAGUCCGGAUUGGAGUCUGCAACUCGACUCCAUGAAGUCGGAAUCGCUAGUAAUCGUGGAUCAGAAUGCCACGGUGAAUACGUUCCCGGGCCUUGUACACACCGCCCGUCACACCAUGGGAGUGGGUUGCAAAAGAAGUAGGUAGCUUAACCUUCGGGAGGGCGCUUACCACUUUGUGAUUCAUGACUGGGGUGAAGUCGUAACAAGGUAACC